UCCUGUUCCGCCUACACCAGAGGAAGUGCACUGGUCUACAACUGCACGUCAGCCUGCCGCCGUGCCUCCCCCGUCAUAAUGAAGGCUGCCUUCAGGCUGUGAGCCAAAGAGCUUCUAAUGAAAAAGCAAGCCGCACUUUCCAGUGAGGAUUUUCAAAGGAGUCCACAGUAUUGGAAAAAAUAUUAAAAUUGAGAAGAAAAAUCCACGGAAAUAGAUGUACAUGUUCCAAGAGCAAUGAAAGAAGGGAAAUGAGAACACAGAAGGAAACACUCCAUUCUUGGAGGAGAAAAAAAAAAACACAUCACAUUUCUUUACCACUCUGGUCAAAUUGUCAUUGAAUUCUGGCAAAAUUAGCAAAGAAAAGAGCUGGACCUACCCGGCUUCUCACAUGCCAUCUAAAAGAACUUGUAAGAUAGCUGCCAUAACCCAUAUCUAACAGAAGUGAGGUCCCGAAGCUGUAAACAAUCUUGGUGUCUGCUGAGGAUUCAUUCUGCACUUCAGAGAUGGUGCCUUCAGGGGAAUCGGCCCUGUGCAGAACAGCCUCAUGUGGUGGAAGAAUGGGAAGGAGAAGGCUUAGUGCCCCACUGUCUCUUUCUGAGAGCAUCUGAUCCAAGGUCCUGAUUAUUCCCAAAGGAUCACUGAACACUACUGUAAUAUUAAAAAACAACAGCAACAACAACAACCCUCAGCUCUCUCAUUCUUAAAGAGAAUAAGAGACAGUAUAUUCCAGAGCCAUUUUGAGUGACCACAGUCCAGGAACUCAAAAUUCCAUGUUCCAACAUGGAAACAAUUUUGUGGCAUUUUUAUUGUUUUAUAGAGCAAAGAGUGACAUAAAUGAAGGCAAGUUUAA
Long non-coding RNA from Mesocricetus auratus (golden hamster), 850 nucleotides. RefSeq lists it as uncharacterized. The transcript is spliced from 3 exons. The record is from RefSeq and is a predicted model, not a curated record. Lineage: Eukaryota; Metazoa; Chordata; Mammalia; Rodentia; Cricetidae.